GACGAACGCUGGCGGCGUGCUUAACACAUGCAAGUCGUACGGUAAGGCCCUUUCGGGGGUCCAUGAGUGGCGAACGGGGGAGUAAGACGUGGGUAACCUGCCCACCAAUUUGGGAUAACGCUAGGAAACUGGUGCUAAUACUGGAUAUGUGCUCCUGCCGCAUGGUGGGGGUUGGAAAGCUCCGGCGGUUGUGGAUGGACUAGCGGCCUAUCAGCUUGUUGGUGGGGUAGUGGGCUACCAAGGCGGCGACGGGUAGCCGGCCUGAGAGGGUGACCGGCCACACUGGGACUGAGGGACGGCCCCGGCUCCUACGGGAGGCAGCAGUGGGGAAUAUUGCACAAUGGGCGCAAGCCGGAUGCAGCAGCGCCGCGGGCUGGAGGACGGCCUUCGGGUUGUAAACCGGUUUCAGCAGGGACGAAGCUUUUUGUGACGGUACCUGCAGAAGAAGCACCGGCUAACUACGUG
This 465-nucleotide ribosomal RNA is filed under the name uncultured bacterium. Its description in RNAcentral is "partial 16S ribosomal RNA". It matches the Rfam family "Bacterial small subunit ribosomal RNA", at positions 28 to 507 of the family's 1533-position model. The record is from RNAcentral.